RNA transcript from Nannospalax galili (Upper Galilee mountains blind mole rat), 1526 nucleotides. It is a transcript of the gene named 4-trimethylaminobutyraldehyde dehydrogenase pseudogene, with no coding region annotated. NCBI's taxonomy places the organism in Eukaryota, Metazoa, Chordata, Mammalia, Rodentia, Spalacidae. The record is from RefSeq and is a predicted model, not a curated record. The transcript has 2 exons.
AUGGCCACAGGCCAGUCUUAUGGAGGAAGUUCUCCAAUUGAUGCUCCCUCAAUCCAGCUGUACACCUUCUCCUAUACACAUCCCUCCAAUUCGCUCAACUACCGCGGCAGGGCCAGCAUGGAGCCGGUGGACGCCUCUGGCACGGAGAAGGCGUUUGAGCCGGCUACAGGCCGAGUUAUAGCUACUUUCACAUGUUUGGGAGAAAAGGAAGUAAGUUUGGAUGUUGAAAAUGCAAAGGCUGCCUUCAAAAUAUGGAGUAAAAAAUGUGGGAGGGAGCGUUGCCAAAUCCUUUUAGAGGCUGCCCGGAUAAUAAAGGAGCGGAAAGAUGAAAUUGCGACUGUGGAGACCAUUAACAAUGGCAAGUCCAUCUUUGAGGCCCGACUAGACGUUGACACUUGCUGGCAGUGCCUGGAGUAUUAUGCAGGCCUGGCUGCAUCCAUGGCAGGUGAACACAUCCAGCUUCCGGAAGGGUCCUUUGGCUACACCAGAAGAGAACCACUUGGGGUGUGUGUGGGGAUUGGAGCAUGGAACUAUCCCUUCCAGACUGCCUGUUGGAAGUCAGCUCCAGCUUUGGCCUGCGGUAAUGCCAUGAUCUUUAAGCCUUCUCCCUUUACCCCUGUGUCUGCUUUGCUCCUGGCUGAGAUCUACACCCAAGCUGGCAUGCCGCCUGGGCUCUUCAAUGUGGUGCAAGGUGGGGCUGCCACAGGCCAGUUUCUGUGUCAGCAUCAAGAUGUGGCCAAGGUCUCCUUUACUGGAAGUGUGCCCACUGGCAUGAAGAUCAUGGAGAUGUCAGCCAAAGGAAUCAAACCUGUUACCUUGGAACUUGGGGGCAAAUCUCCUCUCAUCAUCUUCUCAGAUUGUAAUAUGGAGAAUGCUGUGAAGCGGGCACUGAUGGCCAACUUCCUCAUGCAAGGCCAGGUUUGCUGUAAUGGCACAAGAGUAUUUGUGCAAAAGGAAAUUAUUGAUAAAUUUACAAAAGAGGUUGUGAAGCAGACCCAAAAGAUAAAACUUGGAGACCCCCUCCUGGAAGAUACAACCGCCCACAUCUGGAGCGAGUCCUUGGGUUUGUUAAAUUGGCAAAGGAGCAGGGUGCUAGUGUGCUGUGUGGUGGAGAUCUGUAUGUACCCGAGGAUCCCAAAUUAAAAGAAGGAUAUUACAUGACACCUUGCAUUUUAACUAAUUGCAGAGAUGAUAUGACCUGUGUGAGAGAGGAGAUCUUUGGGCCAGUUAUGUCCAUUUUAUCAUUUGACACUGAAGCUGAAGUUCUGGAGCGGGCCAACGAUACCACUUUUGGACUAGCAGCUGGUGUCUUUACCAGGGACAUCCAGCGGGCUCACAGGGUGGCAGCCGAGCUUCAGGCUGGAACCUGCUACAUUAACAACUAUAAUGUCAGCCCAGUGGAGUUGCCUUUUGGUGGAUAUAAGAAGUCAGGAUUUGGCAGAGAAAAUGGCCGGGUGACAAUUGAGUAUUAUUUACAGCUGAAGACGGUGUGUGUGGAGAUGGGCAAUGUGGAAUCUGUUUUUUGA